RNAcentral lists this long non-coding RNA (344 nucleotides) under Heterocephalus glaber (naked mole-rat). RNAcentral's name for it is "lncRNA (ENSHGLG00100044431.1)". The record is from RNAcentral. Lineage: Eukaryota; Metazoa; Chordata; Mammalia; Rodentia; Bathyergidae.
GUGGGCGAUUCUGCUGGAAAAAUUCCAACUUCCUAGUUGACACCACAAUUAACUAUCACAGUUGGGAACAGCUGAACUAAAAGAACUGAAUUUGUUGCACGAGAGAAGGACAAAGACUAGCCCCCAAUGACAUGGAUGGAAAUCAGCCCAUCCAUGGCCCCUAAUGUUGAACAAUCUGGUUUGAAUCACAGAUAUAUUUGAUGGCUCACAACAUAUAAUUGAAGACCUAAAUUUGGAAUCUUGCCACAAAUGCAUCUAGGAAGUUUUGAAUAGCCAAAGUUAAAUAUCCUGCAACUUUUGAAUCCAACUCCAAAGACCUAGUCCUAGGUAGUCAAUGCUAAGUG